AUCUAGGGCCUUCCCAGUAGCAAGUUGUAGGAAGAAGAGAUAUCCAUUACUUGAAACAAUAUGGGAAAUUCGAUCGGCCCAAUCUACAAGGCCAAAUAAAUUUCUCCAAUAACAUCCUUCUGUGAACCAUCAAAGGCCAUCACUCUCACGUGGCUUUCCUUGACUUCCCUCAAAUGGAUUCAUAACUCCCAUAGAGUGGAGAGCAGACAAAUGUUGACUCCUAACCCUCCAUCGACCAGCACUCAGGAUACCACUUUGUCCCCACAUUUAACAGUGAUAUAAAGAGCUUUGUUGUGACUUGCGCCCUCGAUAGGAAGUUCGUCUCUUCUGAAAAUGAUCAUAUUUGCUUCGACUAUUUUCCCAAUUAUCGUGGCUAGCGCUUCACUGGUGGUGUUACUUGGAACACUUAACCUACUCAGUACUUUCAAUAGGACGUCCUUAUGACUGUUGGAACUCAUUAACAGAUCCAUGAUUGAUAUCUGUGCUGGAGUUUUCUUCAGCUGCUCCUCCACGAAAUACUCUUUGGUCGACAUUCUCUUCCAGAACUUGGCAGCUUCUGGGUCUGUUAUGUUCCGUCUUUGAAUUUUCUCUCUUCCCAAGUUCCCAUGAUUGACAUCUUCAGGAGCUUAGCAUCUCCCAGACCUAGUCAUACCAUGGGUUGCGGCAGAGUCUGUCAUUUUGGCCUUCCCCAUUUGCUGGUACGUCCAUGGGAUGGUUUUAUAUUCUCGACUUUCUUCGUCUCAUAUAGCAAUGGCAGAUUGUCGCUGAUAAGUCUGAAUAGUCACUGUAGGCAUCACUUGUACUGUAAUCAUUGGAGCCCUUUGAGGAGGGAUCCUGGCGGCUUCUGCAUUUCCUAUAGUGACAAUUGUUCUCUUUAGGUCAUACUCUUCGUCCAAUGUGAUCAUGUUAACUACCUGGUUUCGGUGAUUUGGUAGCGGAUUGCGAUUCACAUUGGGCGGAGCCGGAGUGCACUAAAUUGCUCCUCUUAGCUUAAAGCAACCUUCAGUAUCGUGCCCAGGUACAUUGGAAUGGUACACACACCUUUUUGUUGCACCAAAAUACUUGGAGGGGUAUUCAGGAACCCUUCCUUCAACUGGAUGUAUUAAUCAUGAUCUUCUCAAUCUCUCGAACAGUUAGGCCAAAGACUCAGCAAUCGGGGUAUAAUUUCUAGGACCCCUCUCUUCAAAGUUGGGAUGAGGGCGUGGUGCAUAAGUGGGUCAAUUUUGGUGAGUAGUGGUUUGGACAUGAGCAUAUGGUCGUUGUGGGUUUGGAUUGUUGUUGGCUCGAGGAAGGUUGUAUUGUGGUUAAGGGUUAUAAUAUGGCUGGGUGCUAUAGACUGGAGUGUAAGUAGGUAGUGGUGAAUAAUUGUUUGGGGAAUAGGAAGUGUUUCCGUGAUAUGGGUUGGGUUGAUAGUAAGGGACGACUGCCGAGACCUCCUCUUUCUUCUUCUUUCCGCUACAGUUUGACCCUGAUUGGGUGGACUUACUGGCCUCUUGCAGUGCUGCCAUGGAUUGUACUUUACCAGAUUUUAUGCCCUCUUCUAAGAUAUCUACCAUCUUGACUAGUUCGGGGAAUUUCUGUCCCAUCAUUUCCAUCAUCUUUUCAAAGCAUAUCCCUUCCUGGGCUCUGAUGAAAUACUUGGUUAAUUCACUGUUGUCCAGCGGAGGUUGUGCCCUGCCGGCCUCUAACCUCCACUAUCGUGCAUAUUCUUGGAAUAGCUGGGAUGAUUCUUUCUGUAGGUUCACCAGUGCGGACCGAUCGAGAGUGAUCUCUGUGUUGAAUCGGAAGUGAUUCAUGAAGUCCACUGCCAUAUCUUGCCAAGUUCUCUAAUUUCAUGGAUCCUGUCGAGUAUACCAGGUAAGUGCUUCUCCCGUAAAACUUCUUAUAAAUAACUUCAUCUUUAGAUUCUCAUUCCUCCCCACUCCGACUAACUUGUCAUAAUAUGCCAUCAAAUGUGCAUGGGAAUCACCUGUCCCAUCGAAGAUAUCGAACUUUGGGGGUUAAUACCCUCCUUGUAUAUCCAUAUUCAGAUGAAUACACAGAUCCUCGUAGUCCAAACAUUCACUUCAGCCAACUUGGAGGCUCUUCACUUACUUUCUCAAGAUUUGCAACUGCUCAUAUACUGACUUUUAUUCCUUACGCCUGAUUUCCCUCUCCAUUUCAGCAUAUUGGUUAAUCUCAUAGGGCACCCUGACCGUGACAGGCACUGUAAAGAUAGAUUCAGAAUUGGCAUAUAUAUGGGGAACAUACCGCUCAUGGGCAGCGGCAUGUGCCACAGGUAUGUGUUGGUUAGUGGUAAAACUGACUCCGUCAUGAGGAGUGGUGUGAGUUGCAUUGGUUGUGACAACUAGGUUUUGUGGUAUUUGAACGUACUAUGUUACGUAGGAAGUGUGGAUAGGGGGAUUUGGUGGAUUUGUGGGGGUUACUGGGGUAUGACUUGAGUAGUAGGAGCUGAAGUUGUGGUGUUGUUGUUUUGGCGUGAUGUGGAAGGAAAGUGGUCAGGGAUUGAAUCCAAAAAAGGGAAUCGAGGUGGUUGAGGAAAUGUUAUCAUGUCCAGGUGCACUAGUUUCUUGAUAUGUUGUACUUCCUCCCUUAGAGACUCCCUUUCCUGGGCCAUCCUGGCCACAUAUUCAUCAUUCCUGGUGUCGUCCUUUUCCCUCGAUCGGCCCGAGUUGUCGGCUAUGACCAGAACAUAUUCAGUUGGGUUUUUUGUGGCUGACAUAUUUCACUUUGACCUUAGAUUGUAUGGUGGUUCCGCCAGUUUUGGUCGACACAAAUCAACUUUCUUUUCUUUUCGGGGGUAAUAAUAAAGAAAAAUAAAAAUAAGAGGAAAGAAAAAAAAAGAAAAAAAAAACAAGAGUCAGUUUCUUCAUUUAUACGAGCAGAAAAUCACAAAGAGCAACUAAUUCGUGCAUUAAGGCUAACGUAAUUCCUAGAAUUCGUGGGGACCUCUCAUUGCCGGAGGUAGACCUAAAUCGUAUAUAUUUGACAAACACUUAGACUUGACACAUCUAGAUCCGAAGCAAUUUUGUUUUUAUUGAUAAUUUGAACUGAUAUAAGUGGGAACAAAGGUUACAUCACUGUUUCACAUAACUGCCUGGGCUUGGACAACUUGCCCUUUUGGAAAGUAAAAGAGAACACUUGGGAUAAGGGUACAAUGUGGGAAAGAAGGGAAAUCAACCAACUAUAAUAACCAUCCAGUGAGUCAUUUCCCAUCUCCUCCUCUUUUUCUGGCUCCUCUUUCGGAUCCUCCUCUGGGUCUUCUUCAAACUACUCCUCGUUAUCGUUGAACUCUAACUCCUCCUUCGGAUCUUCUUUUGGCUCUGUUCUAGACUUUAUUUGGAUGUACUCCACUACCCGGUCAUCGUCUUCAGUAGGUGACAACAUAUGAUCGAUGGAUCCUGGGACCACUUGAUGAUGCAUUGAAGUAGUCACAGGGUAAUGUGGAAGAAUCUCAUGGUAAAUCUAUAAAGCAGCCACUACGUCCUCUAACCAGGCUAUACCUUCUCUGCUUGGCCAGGCUAGCUCUUCUUCCUCAUUAAUCCAGACAUAAUACUCAGGAGUGCAACACGAGUUUUGACCCAUCAGCAUUGUGACCAGGUCUUUCCACUCUUAUUGGAGCCUUCUUAUCCUGGGAAUUGGAAUCUGCCCGUUGUACUCAUCUUCGUAUAAUGUUGUCCUUGUCCACAGAGGCACAUAUUGGAUCAUCCCAAACUAUCUGAGGACCCGCAGGGGUGAAUAAGGUUGAAUACCUUCAAGUCCGAUCAGGUCAAUGAAGUAUUUAUGAGGAGUCCUCAAGAUUGCUCUUCCACCUAACCAUGAUAGCUUCUAGUUGAUCCAUUCUCCACUCAGAUUGGUCAGCAUUUCCCUCCACUCUUCUUGCCCAUGUGAGGAGACCCAAUGUCUCAUUCUUUUAUUGUGGUUGCGGAUCAUGUUGCUGACGCCCACAAAGUAGUUGAUGGUGGCCUCUCGCUGGAAGAAAUGUUCAGUAUCCCAUAUCUGAAGCAGCAAGUUACAACCUUUAAAGAAAUCACACCCUCGUGCACAUACUGACAAAUCCCUCGGUAUGUCAGCUAACACCAUCGGCACCAAAGUAGCUUGAAGAUUGCCGUGGAAGGUCGCCAGAACCACAGGUAAUAGAUUGAUGUUGAUCCGACCCCUUCUCUGUGGGUAGACCAAUAGUCCCAAUAGUGCCAUUGAGAAAGUGAUAGGCCUGAGACUCUCCCACAUCGCUUGGUCACAUUAAAACUCUCCUGAAUACCACUCGUAGCUUUUAUGGUGCCCAAAUCUGUCGAACAGCUGGUCGAGGCUCACCCAUUUAUCCUCAAUACUUCUGAGACUUCUAUUUUUGGCCAGGCCUAAAGCAUUCAAAAAUCGAUAACCGGGCAUAGUAAUUGGCAAUAUCGUCUUCCUUCUGUUGAACGGCAGCUCCGUGAAACUUGUGACUUCCUCCAAUGUUGGUACUAAGUCAUAGUCGGCAAAUUUUAACACCACCUUAACCAAAUCCCAAAAUUCUAUCAACAGGCGAGUGAGCACCAUGUCUGCUCGGAUGGUUAGCAAAGCGGUUAAUUCCCCCAGGUGAGUUCGAACCUCAUCUUCGUGUUCCCAGCGAAUAUUCUUCCACCAUUGCUUCAAUUUAUGUGGCGCUCCCAUUACCAUGUUAAUCUCAGGGAUGUUUCAGUUGAUUUUCAUUCUCUGAGGUGGGUAAAAGAAAGUUGUUUUGUAAGCAUUUGCUUCGGAACUUUAAGUGUCUUGUCACGUUUGUUUGUCUUUCCACAGAAGUCUUGUCGUUGGGUGCAUGACCCGUUGACACUAGGGUGACUUUCCUAAUUGUGUGUCGAUGCCAAGGACCGACUCACCUAAGGUUUAUGCAGUGUUGACACUCAAUUUUGACCCUCCGUAUUUUAAAAUUAACUUCUGUAGGCUUCCUAGUCAAAAAAGAUAAAAAUAUAGCUUAUGCACAUUAUUUAGCUUUAAUGCAAUUUAUUGAUAAUUACUCCUAUUUUUACAAAAUAUGGAAAUUUUUAUCGUUUUAUUGCAAUUAGUUAAAUACUACAGUUUUUGUGCGUUUUUCUAAAUUUUAAGCGAUUUAUUGAUAAUGGUCCUAUUUUUUAAACAUUAGGAUAUUCUUUCAAUUUAUUGUCUAUUCAAAAAUAAAAUAAUAAUUACUACAACUUCAUUGUAGUAGUUAUAUUUUAAAUAAAUACUAUGAGAUUUUUUAAUUAAAAAAGUAAUAUUUUAUUUUGUAGCACAGUCUAUUUAAUUACAUCGAAGCCAGUAUAAUUAAUUUUAAAAUAUGGGUCAAGUCCGAUUAAAUUCAAUGUCCCGUCCACAUUUGAUGUGACAAGAUAUUGACGCGACAUGACACUGAUGUGACAUGUAAUGUAAUGUGACAUGACAUUGAUGUGAGAUUAAUGUGACAAGACACAUUUUCAUUUCAAGCACAUGUCUUUCUUCUUAUUUUUUAUUUAUUCUCUUACUAAAAACAAGAACCACAUAUUUUUACAUACACCCUAUAAUAAUAUAUUUGCUUGCACUACACACACAAAAUAAACCAUCAGAUUUUUGGAAAGGGUUUUAAAACCCUAAAGCUCUCAACAUCUCUUUCUCUCAACUCAAGAGAAGCUACAGACGCCAACUGCCCUUAGAGCUCCAUAUCUCUCUUCCUCUUUGAGAGACGCUUGCCAGCCUCCUCCCGUUUCUACUGCAGGCCAGCCACCAGCAGCCAUGGUUAGCACACUCCAUCAACACUGCUCCUUCUUCCCCUCACAUCAUUUCUCGUUUGUUGCUAUGCCGCCGCCGGAAGUGAUGACCGGCAGCCGGCCAUCGUCCAAAUGGCCAAAACCUCACUGUCCCACUCUCCUCUCACGCGUAUCCUCGCUGCUUUCGCGCUUUGGCUGGGGAAGUGACCGGAAAGGCCUAGAUAAGAAGCCUUAAAGCUUUCCGGCGACCUUUGUGACAUCUUGAUGGCGCUGCUCUAGUGCCUAUCGUGGUAGUAGCACCGCCGACAAAUGUAACCAAGAUUAUAUACUAUUCACUGUUGCUUAGUCUUCUCCACACCACUACUCGCCGGAAAAUAGUCGCUCUCACUGGAAAAUCUUAGAACUGGUCGAAAACUUUGUUAUACGGCACCACUAUUUUGUAUUGUAUUUUUCUUUCUCUUUCUCUUUGCAGACUCUUAAGUCCAUACAUAAAAAAUAAUAAAAGAGGUGGAAGAAGAUUUCUCACCGAAGUUUCAUC
RNAcentral lists this long non-coding RNA (6240 nucleotides) under Nicotiana tabacum (common tobacco). RNAcentral describes it as "long non-coding RNA (NTAB_LNC005936)". Lineage: Eukaryota; Viridiplantae; Streptophyta; Magnoliopsida; Solanales; Solanaceae. The record is from RNAcentral.